Molecule: small RNA, 1323 nt
Filed under: Rattus norvegicus (Norway rat)
Lineage: Eukaryota; Metazoa; Chordata; Mammalia; Rodentia; Muridae
Description: uncharacterized LOC108352644
Source: RNAcentral
GCAACUGGCAGAGUGAAUUGGAUUUCUCUGCCUAUGUGUCAGGAGCCCUUUUUGCCUGUUUCUGUGAUAGCCUUCCUGUCAGGCAGUCAAACAUGUCAGGUUCUUGCGGCAGAUUUCCUGGUCUGCUGAGGGGAUAUACUUGAGGCUCAAGGCUCGAUUGCGAACAUUCUACUAAUCUUGGUGAAGGAAACAAGGAGGCCUCCGAAUGGGACUAGCUAUCUUAUACUUUGCCUCUCCUGUGCAGGUGAAGUUCAAGAUUGAAUUGCCGCAGUCUCUACCCGGAAGCUAUUCAAGGCCAACAGAACCAAGCCUCUGCAUAAGCCAGCUCUCUUCACACACAGUGAUCGACAUCCAAUGAAUAUCUGCCCACUCUAAAUCCAAGAAGGCCUAUGCUGCAGCUUGAAUGACCUUCAAGCCUCAGCUGAAACACAGAUACACUGGGGUCACAUAAUGAGAACACAGUCAACUUUUCUGAGAAGGAUAAGUGCCUCAUGUCUUGUCUGUUUUCCUUGAGUUUUGUCUUUGUUGUUAGUCUGAAUUACCCACUUCUUUUUCAAAACUGAUCACAUGUAAUAUUCUAUGAGGAAGGCAUCAGAAAUCUCUACCUUCUGUCUGAAACCCACAAACUCAAACUGCCUUCUAAAGGCCUGUUUAUGUGAAUGAGCAAAAGCUACUCUUAACCUAAACUUCCAUUUCAGUAAAUAGCUGUGAAUGCAAUGACCCCUGGCAGUUAGAGAUCCUGAGGUAAAAGGAUGGCUGAGUCCUUAGCUCUAAACAGAACAUUUAUGCAACUCCCUCAAAAGCUCAGGACACACUGUAGAAGAGAAAAUUGAAAGGAUGUAAAGAGACAGAAGGCAGGGAGAAGGUCUAUGAAAUGUCAUCUUGUGGUCAUGACACAGAGAUUACAAUCACAAACUCGCAGCAGCUGAAUUUACCUUCAGUGCACCAGCAGAAGACUGACCACUGAGCCAACAGCCAGCCAUGGAUGAAGAGAGUGUUCAUGGGAACCCACCUUUCCCUAUGGAAUUAUUGGCUAUGGAUGACUUCUGAGGGAGGAGUGGUUAUGGUGUUCAGUUGUGUAUCCACUACUCAACUAAUCAGGAUUUAAUGAAUAGUUUGAAAGCAAUGAUUGUAUGUGUUUGGGUUAAACCCAUGGGGCCAGCAGAACAAAAAACAAUUAUGAAUGUAAGAAAAGGAUUUGUAGAGAGAAGAGACAGUUGUCAGUGGUGUAACAUAUGUCAGACAGAAUACAGAAAUAGCUACCAGAAUGCAUUAUAUAAUACAUAUCAUUGAACUAAUUCAUUUAAUAAAAAAUUAGGAAUA